UUUUGAGCUUUCUCCCCUUCUGCUACAUCAAUACCCCCUUUUUUGCAAACUUCUUAUCAUCUUAUGCCAUAUGGUCUACACUUUACUCUUAUUCCUUUAACGUGAUGUUGUUGUUAGAUGUUUUUUUUUUCUCCAUUUGGGGACAUGAGUUAUAGAAUUAUACUUAUGAUCUAUGUUACUCGGACUCGAUACUGGUGUUAGAACUCAGAAAUGGGUGCAUAUCCCUAUGUCUGACUUGUCAACUUUCUAAAUAGUGAAUAUGUGGAUAUGGACCUUACUUGUCAACUUUCUAAAUAGUGAAUACGUGGAUAUGGACCUUACUUGUCAACUUUCUAAAUAGUGAAUACGUGGAUAUGGACCUUGUCAACUUUCUAAAUAGGGAAUACGGGGAUAUGGACCUGACUUGUCAACUUUCUAAAUAGAGAAUACGGGGAUAUGGAUCUGAGUUCAGAUAUGGGUGCCCGGAUAGUUAUAUUAUACAAAAUAAAUUAGAGUAAAAAAAUAUGAAGUUAUAUAGUAAUAAUUAUAGUCUAAAUAGAUGUUUAAAUACAAUCAAAUACAUCAUCUAAAAUAUAACCAAAUAACUAUUUUUGUCUAAAUAUAUGAUUUUCAUCUUGGGAGAAAAGAAUGUUAUCUUAACUAUGUAUGAAUAUGUCACUCAAGUGUCCGAGUGCACGAAUAUGAAGUGUCGUGUCGACACGGGCACGCCAUGUCAAAAUGAAGAGUCAGAGUAUCAAAGCUUAUGAUGCAACAGUUAUUUAUGGCCACAUGGCAUGCAAAUUUUGAUAAUUUUCCUCAUAACUGAUAUUAGUACAUCUGUUGAUAAUUUUCUGCAGAGGUAGAUAUCCUAAAGUGAACUGUUGGAGACAUUGGGCCAUUUUGGCAUGCAUGCUUUUUUUUGGUUUUGGUGGUUGUCCAAAUAAUGAAAUAAUUGUGUAUGUGAAAACAAGUUUAUUAAACAAGUAAAACAAACUUUUGAUGAUUACUGGCUAUAGAAAGCUGUUUUAGUCAUUAAGACAUCAAGUAGCCAACUAAAGUGUAAUCAAUUUUUUUAAUAAUUAUAGGACUAGAAUAAUCAACAAACAAAAAUAGUAUGGAUGCCAAAUGGGCCGUAAUGAGUGUUUUUGCGUGGACCUAAAGUGAGAGCAAUGCCAUGUGGAUUUAUGUUAGCAUUGUUCAGUAAUAAUGCUUAUCCUUUAGGCAUUUAUUUUACUUUUAGAAAGGAAUUAGUCUCUCCAUCUCAACAAUGGAAAUGGAUAGUUUGCAUGGGGGUGAGGAAAAGCAUGUUUUGUCUGAGGCCCUUUAUUUUAUUUUCUAUUUUUCCCCUAAAAAGUAUUUUUCUUCAUUUUGGAGUCCUGCAUUGAGCCUUAAUAUUACAAAUAUAGGUUUGAAGUUGUUGAUUUUAUUAGAAAAAAAAAAUUAUUCUUGCUCUAGAAACCUGUUGCUGUAUUUUCUUCAAUUUCUUCCUUUUUUGCAUUGCUUUUAUUCUGUAUUUUGCAUUUUGUUUUUCUUACUACAUUUAUUUGGGAGGGGAUUAUAAUUUUUAGN
RNAcentral lists this long non-coding RNA (1548 nucleotides) under Manihot esculenta (cassava). RNAcentral describes it as "long non-coding RNA (MESC_LNC007850)". Lineage: Eukaryota; Viridiplantae; Streptophyta; Magnoliopsida; Malpighiales; Euphorbiaceae. The record is from RNAcentral.